UUGCCUACGGGGGGCAGCAGUGGGGAAUAUUGCACAAUGGGGGAAACCCUGAUGCAGCAACGCCGCGUGAGUGAAGAAGUAUUUCGGUAUGUAAAGCUCUAUCAGCAGGGAAGAAAAUGACGGUACCUGAGUAAGAAGCCCCGGCUAACUACGUGCCAGCAGCCGCGGUAAUACGUAGGGGGCAAGCGUUAUCCGGAUUUACUGGGUGUAAAGGGGGCGCAGACGGCCAUGGCAAGCCCGGUGUGAAAGGUGCGGGCACAACCCGCAGACUGCACUGGUAACUGCCUGGUUGGAGUGCCGGAGGG
Molecule: ribosomal RNA, 305 nt
Filed under: uncultured bacterium
Lineage: Bacteria
Description: bacterial SSU rRNA
Rfam family: Bacterial small subunit ribosomal RNA
Source: RNAcentral